This is a long non-coding RNA of Odocoileus virginianus texanus, 362 nucleotides long. RefSeq lists it as uncharacterized. NCBI's taxonomy places the organism in Eukaryota, Metazoa, Chordata, Mammalia, Artiodactyla, Cervidae. The record is from RefSeq and is a predicted model, not a curated record.
CAGCCCUGUGGCCCUCGGGGCCGGCGGGAGAAGGUCGCCAAAACCCAGAGGAGCGCCGCCAUUGACGUCCACCUACGGGCCCAUCACACCUGCCUCCAGGUCUGAGCAGCGCGCUCGAAAACGCCCUGGCAAACCGUCAUCUGUCUGAAGGAGGGGGUCUCGGAUGAAAGAGGGUGAGGAACCCGCACGUUUUUCCAGCUGGAUGCAUCAGGCACAGAGAAGAGAUCACAUCCCAUGAACCCACAAGGACCCUGGGAGGCUACACAGAAUGCCAACCAGACACACUCUCCUGGAGCAACUACCAUAAUAAUGUGCAUUUAAAGAAAAAUCAUCUUAUAUUAAAACAAACACAAAGACAUAAA